GCUCUUUUAAUAAAGCCCUGAUGAAUCCAGCCCAUGUAGCAGUGAUUCAUGUCAGUGGAUUUUUUUUUUUUUUUUGUCUUCACAAAAGCCUCACUCGGGCAAAUGGAACAGUGAUAAACGCUCCAGAACGCUGAUGUACGGAUCACACUCCUCCUCUCCUACAGAUAUAGACGAGUGCACGAACCCCUCCGCCUGUCCCAAUGCCAAGUUUGAGUGCGUCAACACUCCAGGCUCAGUCCGCUGUUCCUGUCGGUACAAGAACAUUAAGGAAUCGGACGGCUGCGGUGAUUCGGACAAUCCCCCAGGGUGGAACAUCUUUAACGUUUCUGUGGAGUGGAGCACUCAAGGAAGUGGAAUGAGCGAACUGCAGAAGCUACAGCAGAUCCUGUCCAUGGGCUUUCAGAACAAGUUCUACAACGCCAGUGUGACAUGGACAGGCCAGGGCGGACAGACAUCUAGUGAAUAUCGCAUCAACGUGUCCAGCGACACCCCGCACUGGUACGUGCAGGACUACCUCACCCGUGUCAGCCAGCAUUAUGGUAUCAAGUCCACCGAUGUGGGAGGUACGCUCUCCAAAACUACUUCACAUGUAUGUCUGAGGAAGCUUCUUGACCAAGGCAUCUUAGACACAGAGACUGCCUGUCCUCCUCAGACCUGGACGAGUGUACGACGAAGGAGGCUGUGUGUCACAAGGCAGCAACGUGUGCCAACACCUAUGGAGGGUACAGGUGUGUUUGCAAUGGCACCACGGAUGUGGACGAAAUCCAGUCCUGCAUUUUAGGUGAGGGG
Molecule: long non-coding RNA, 789 nt
Filed under: Scleropages formosus (Asian bonytongue)
Lineage: Eukaryota; Metazoa; Chordata; Actinopteri; Osteoglossiformes; Osteoglossidae
Description: lncRNA (ENSSFOG00015028162.1)
Source: RNAcentral